RNAcentral lists this ribosomal RNA (497 nucleotides) under uncultured bacterium. Its description in RNAcentral is "partial 16S ribosomal RNA". It matches the Rfam family "Bacterial small subunit ribosomal RNA", at positions 28 to 507 of the family's 1533-position model. The record is from RNAcentral.
GAUGAACGCUGGCGGCGUGCCUAAUACAUGCAAGUCGAGCGAACAGACGAGGAGCUUGCUCCUCUGACGUUAGCGGCGGACGGGUGAGUAACACGUGGAUGACCUACCUAUAAGACUGGGAUAACUUCGGGAAACCGGAGCUAAUACCGGAUAAUAUAUUGAACCGCAUGGUUCAAUAGUGAAAGACGGUUUUGCUGUCACUUAUAGAUGGAUCCGCGCCGCAUUAGCUAGUUGGUAAGGUAACGGCUUACCAAGGCGACGAUGCGUAGCCGACCUGAGAGGGUGAUCGGCCACACUGGAACUGAGACACGGUCCAGACUCCUACGGGAGGCAGCAGUAGGGAAUCUUCCGCAAUGGGCGAAAGCCUGACGGAGCAACGCCGCGUGAGUGAUGAAGGUCUUCGGAUCGUAAAACUCUGUUAUUAGGGAAGAACAAAUGUGUAAGUAACUAUGCACGUCUUGACGGUACCUAAUCAGAAAGCCACGGCUAACUACGUG